Colossoma macropomum (tambaqui) is the source of this 4497-nucleotide RNA transcript. It is a transcript of the gene named LLGL scribble cell polarity complex component 2, with no coding region annotated. The record is from RefSeq and is a predicted model, not a curated record. Lineage: Eukaryota; Metazoa; Chordata; Actinopteri; Characiformes; Serrasalmidae. The transcript is spliced from 27 exons.
GAGGAGCCUGAGCUGCAGUGAGCUGGUAGCCCCUCUGGCUGGAGGUGAAAAAAUAAAAGUCUCCACUCGCAGCGGGCCUGGGGCCGCAGGAAACGGCGAGGCUGCAGCGGAGUACCGAGAGCUAUAGGAACCCGUACGUCUCUGAACUAGCGUUAGGUGAACAAGAGAACAUUACAGCGUUAGAUGACUGUUACCUUAACUUUAACGUACUGCUCGUUGGUUUUUUUCCGAAGAAAAGUAUUCUUGGGAGAGUGGCCCAAGAUCCGUAAACAGUGAACGCCGCCGCUGGGACAACAACGUAGCUGCAGAUCAGGUAGCUAAAAGAGAGAGAGAGGGCAACGUGAGGCCCUUGCUUGUCCCGGGAGAAUGAAGAGAUUCCGGCGACAUGGGCAUGACUCUCAGAGGGACAAACUCAAGCAAGAGCUCUACCAGUUCAAUAAGACUGUGGAGCAUGGCUUUCCCCACCAACCAAGUGCUCUGGGCUUCAGCCCCAGCCUGGAGCUUCUUGCCAUUGGUACCAGAUCUGGAGCCAUCAAACUCUAUGGAGCUCCAGGAGUUGAAUUUAUGGGACUGCAUGAUGAGAAUGCUGCAGUUACACAGGUGCACUUUCUCCCACACCAGGUUGAGUUGGUGACAUUACUGGAUGACAAUAGUCUGCACAUGUGGACACUUCGAGCUCAUAAAGGUGUGUCAGAGCUGCUGGAGAUAGGACGCUUUACACUCACUGGUCCUCCAGGUGCAAUUCCUAGUGUGACGCGGGUGACUGCCGUUCUAGCCCACUCUUCGGGUGAGCUGCUUCUGCUGGGCACUGAAGGUGGUCAUGUGUUCGUAGUGGAGGUGCCUGGCUUCAGGGAGCUGGAAGAAAAUAAUAUCAGUGUGGAAGACGUCCAGAGCAGAGUUCCAGAGGAAUAUGUGGGCCGCAGGAACCUGGAGUGUGUGGAGGCCCUGCAGGAAAAUCCUCUCAACCCCCGGCAAGUGCUGAUAGGCUAUAGCCGAGGCCUGAUGGUUCUUUGGGACCUGGAUCGUCGGUGUGCCAUUCAGCACUUCCUAGGCACACAGCAGCUGGAGAGUGUGUGGUGGAUGGAGGAUGGUGGAAACAUUCUUAGUUCCCAUAGUGAUGGCAGCUAUUGCCAUUGGACGGUGACUGGAAAGGAUCCGCAGACUGAACCAGAGAAACAGGAGACACCAUAUGGUUCCUUCCCAUGCAAGGCCAUUUCCAAAAUCCUACAAAUAUCAACAAGACAAGGUCCCCCAUUCCUUAUCUUCAGUGGUGGCAUGCCAAGGGCCAGCUAUGGAGACAGACACUGCAUCUCUGUCAUACACAGCAAGACCCAUGUAGCGCUGGACUUCACGUCCCGCAUUAUAGACUUCUUUGUCAUCAGAGACGGAGAGCGCCAUAGAGGGGACCCCAGUGCUCUGGUGGUGUUGGUGGAAGAGGAACUGGUGGUAGUAGAUCUGCAGACUGAGGGAUGGCCUGUGAUCCAGACUCCAUACCUGGUGCCACUACACUGCUCAGCAAUCACUUGCUCUCACCAUGUCUCCUCCAUCCCACUAAAACUGUGGGAGAGAAUCCAGGCUGCUGGCAAACUGCAGAACUCACACUACUCAAGAAAGCCUUGGCCGAUAAAUGGAGGACAGAACCUUGCCCCAGAUCCUCCCCAGAGAGACCUGUUGUUGACUGGCCAUGAAGAUGGAACAGUGCGUUUCUGGGAUGCCUCAGGGGUCUGCCUUUACCCCAUGUACAAGCUGAGCACGGCUAUGGUUUUCCACACGGAUGCUGAUCCCAAUGACAACAUGAAUCAGAGCACUGAGGGCGAGUGGCCACCUUUUCGCAAGGUGGGCUGCUUUGACCCAUACAGUGAUGACCCCCGGCUCGGCAUCCAGAAGAUUCAUCUCUGUAAAUAUAGCGGUUACCUGACUGUGGCAGGAACUGCCGGACAAAUCCUAGUGCUGGAGAUGAAUGAUGAGGCAGCUGAGCAGACUGUUGAAGCCACAGUAGUGGACCUGCUGCAGGGGCAAGAAGGUUUCCGCUGGAAGGGCCAGGCACGGCUAGACCUACGGGAGGAGCCAGUCACAUUUCCAUCAGGCUUUCAGCCCUUUGCCUUGGUGCAGUGCCAGCCCCCUGCAGUGGUCACAGCAAUAGCCCUGCAUUCAGAGUGGAAGUUGGUUGCGUUCGGGACUAGCCAUGGUUUUGGUGUCUAUGACUACCAACAGAAGAACAAUAUUCUGGUCAAGUGCACUCUCAACCCAAACGACCAGGUGGCCCUAGAGGGGCCCCUAUCUAGAGUGAAGUCCAUUAAGAAGUCUCUGCGCCAGUCCUUCCGCCGAAUUCGCCGCAGCCGUGUCUCCAUGCGCAAACACAAUCCCAACAAUGCAGCAAAGCUUCAGGAGUUAAAUGCACGGUUAGAGGCAGAGGCUCUGCAUGAAAUGGAACUGGCUCCAGUUCAGAGGAAAAUUGAAGCUCGCUCUGCUGAUGACUCCUUCACUGGACUUGUCAGGACUCUGUAUUUUGCUGACACAUUCCUUAGUGACAGCUCUCAAAGCACACCCUCUCUAUGGGCAGGGACCAAUGGUGGCGCUGUCUUUGCCUACAUGCUGCGUCUCCCUCCUGUAGAACGGAGAAUGGACAACCAAGUGACAGCUCACGCAGCUAAAGAGAUCCAGCUGAUGCAUCGUGCUCCAGUUGUGGGCUUGGUGGUUUUGGAUGGGAGGGGAGCGCCAUUGCCUGAGCCCCUGGAAGUGGCACAUGAUCUCGCCCGCAGCCCUGACAUGCAGGGUUCUCACCAACUGCUUGUCAUCUCGGAGGAGCAGUUAAAGUUGUUCAAUUUGCCUAAAGUGAGCAGCAAGGCAAAGCUUAAACUGACAGCCAUUGACGGUUCCCGGGUGCGUCGGGUGGGCGUGGCCUGGUUUGGGAGUAGUCGGGUGGAGGACUAUGGAGAGAGCAGCUUGGUAGUGUUGACCAAUCAAGGCGAGCUACAUGUUGUGUCCCUGCCAUCAAUCAAACUGCAAGUGCACUACCCCUGUAUUCGAAGAGAGGAUGUCAGCGGAAUCGCAUCCUGCGUCUUCACCAAGCAUGGGCAAGGACUCUAUCUGAUCUCUCCCUCCGAGUUUGAGCGUUUCUCUCUUUCUGCACGCUGGGUAGUGGAGCCACGAUGUCUAGUAGAGGCUUCCCAAACAAGACCCACAUCACAUUCGAGCCAAGCUCACAGAGACCAGCCUGAUGGAGCGUCCAUGGAGAACAGGAACUUAAGAAGGAACAGCGACAACUAUGAAAACUCUGCUAGACAAGUAAUGGAGCAUGCUUUGCUGAACGAUGAGAAGGUGCUCCAGGAGAUCCAAAAGUCACUAGAAGGAGAUCAGAUGUUUUUGGAAAACAGCCUGAAGACUAAGCCAGCACCAGGCAAGGUGCUGAGUAAUGGAGCAUAACUCCUGUUCUAAACUAACGAAGCAAAAUUGGACUCUGAACUUGUUUGGGCUGACCAACUACAUCUGGAAUUGAGCCUUGCAACCCGUGCCUGAAACGUCCGCUCCAGCCUUGCUGAAGACCUGAACACUACUGCAAGUAUCACUACUGAACCAUGUGAAGCCCUGGAGAGAGGAAUGCCUGCUACACCAGAGGGUGAGGGUCAGAGGGACCACCACCUGUGCCUGCCAAGACCAACCACUGUAUCUCCACCGACCAUAACAACCACCAACCCCAGCACCAGCCUCCACCUUUGAGCAUGUCCCCCGCCCUCCUGUGGGGCUGCAGCUACACCACUCAACAGCUCAACACUGAAGAGCAGGAGCAAGGUGGCAGGGGCAUUUUUUUUAUUCUGUUUUAUUUCUUAUGUUUGUUAAUUUAAUUUUUACAUGCAUGAUUUUUGUAUAUGUGAUUUGAAAACCUCAAAAUCUGCAUGAAUGAUGUGUCUCACAAGGGAAAAGAUACCACCAGUCAUUGAAAGGAUUUAAGGUAUAAUGGCUAGGUAGUCUUAGGACUUGUACUGAAGUGCUGAAACUACGUAGUCAACCAAAUGAACCACAUGUAUAUCAAAUAUUUUACUAAGUACUCUAAAAGAAGUAGUAAUGCCUUUUUCCCUCCGUCCAGGCAAAAAAGAGAACAGUGUGUAGUUAUGUUUUAGGUACUUUUUCACUACUGUGUAGCAUAUAUGCUGUAAUUUUUAGGGGGUACAACUUUCUAAGGGGCUUGGUUUUUAAUAUUUUUUAAUGUCAGCUUUUUUAAUGCCAUUUAUGCAUAAUGUAAUUUAGGAAUGUAAUUUUAAGAUAAUGUAGUCAAAUGUUUAAUAUAUGUGUAUAUGAAAAUCUGUAUCUGUUAAUGGUGGACUGUAUUUUCUGAUCUAAGGAAAUAUUUUGGUACUGUCUCUUGAAAUGCUCUCAGCAUUUUUUGGGUCUAGAAUAUAUUUUUGUAGUUAACUGAUCAUGUACAAGAACACUAUCAUUUUGUAAUUUGACACUACCAUUAAGUCUGCUGAGUAAAUUUUUAAACUUUCACCACAA